Helianthus annuus (common sunflower) is the source of this 2398-nucleotide long non-coding RNA. RefSeq lists it as uncharacterized. The transcript has 7 exons. The record is from RefSeq and is a predicted model, not a curated record. Lineage: Eukaryota; Viridiplantae; Streptophyta; Magnoliopsida; Asterales; Asteraceae.
GGUGAUUAGGGUCAUUGUUGUUCCUUCCAUAUAUAAAGCAAGACGUCUUCUCUCAUACUCUUUGUCGAUUAGGUUUUUUUUUUUGUUUACAUUGUUCCUCUUCAUCAGAUAAUCCCUCAUGCGCAUUCUCUUUGGAGAAAACCUAGCCACCUCCUUCAGCUAGACCAUGGAUUCUCAUCUUCAUCUUCAAGGUAUUCGAUUUAGGGUUCCGAUUGGGAUUAUGACGGUGACUCGGUUUAUACUUUAUAUUAUGACGGUGAUCUCUCGAUCUAAAUCGACUGAUAUGACGAACUAUGGUUUCUCUUCAUCUCUCGGCUCUACUUCUUCACUCAUUCAAUCCAACCUUCUUCAUCAAAAAGAAGCUUUAAUAAAUUGGUCUGAGCAAAGAGCACGUGAGGAAAGUGAAAGAUUGAAGCGGGUAGUCGGUUGCGGCUUAGAAUUAAAUUGAUGCGUAGCAACUUGGUGGGUCGAUGCGGAUUGGUUUGAAAUGGACCUGGCUUGGUUGACCCACAACCAUGAAUCAACUGUGUAUUCCUAUAGAUGCUUUGUGUUGCUGCUAAGCCAGAGGAGAAGAAACUUCAACUCAUGUUUCUUCGUUGGAGCGAGCAUCACAAAAAACUUUGCAGUUUUUUAAGGUUUACUUUCUAUAUACAAUGGCAUUGGUGCUUUUUUAUCUCACUACUUACAACUGUAUUUUUAGUUUGGUACACGUGCAAGAGUGCUUCAAUCAUAUCCACCACCUAAAGCUUUAAAAGUUACCCUAUCCAAAAAGUUCCAUUGGUUUGGGAUGGUUGGGGAGUAGUUAGCUGCAUACGAAGAAAAGCGAGAAAAGAUUAACAAAACAAGGCUUUAAAAGCCACUCUUGUGAAAUAAGAAGAGUCGAAAGCUGUGGAUGAUGCUGAUGUUAGCAAAAGUGACCCAAUGCUCAUUGAUGGCUAUACAAAAGUGGAUGAUAAUUCUAUGUUGUUUUUUUUAUUAUGCUGAUGAGUUUAAGUUACCAUUCCAUGGUUCAAGUUUAAAGUUAUAGAAAAUUAUUAUAUGCGUGGGUUGAAAGAAUGGGUAAGGAAUGCCGAAAUUUCUUAGUGUCAUCCGCUGUGACCGUGCUUCGGUAGUUGAGCGACGGUGGUGGCUGCUGUCAUAUAAUUGAAACAACAUCAAAUCAAGUUGCGUCGGUAGAAGAAGAAUGACUACGCAGGUUUAGCAACAAAACCUGUGAUUAUAACAUCUUAAGCAUAUGAUAAAGAAGAUAUGAGUUGAGAAAUUAUGGCUAUGGCACACUUUCUCUACAGCUAUUUUCUACGACUUUGAGAAAUCUAAGCAAAUAUUCUCUUAAUCUCCCCUAAAUUCAUGCACACAAUUUCCACACACAUAUAUUAUGCAUUCUGUGGCCAGGAUCUCCACGAAGAUUUUCCGCAGUUUCUUCGUCCCCUUUUCAAACAUGUCUUUUGUACACUCACUUGAUCAAUUUAUUCUUUCUCACACACAUUUAUAGUGUUAAAUAAUGGUUCAUACACAAUUUGUUUGACCUCACUGUGGCAAUAAGUUGUUCCGGUGUAGUGAUUUCAUCAAGUAUGUUGUUGAUUUGUGUUUUUUUGUUCAAAUUUAAUUAGAUUUUGUAACGGAUUGGUUGUCUGUGUAGGUGGAUUAAGUUUCAACAAAGGACCAGUUAUGACUUUUACGACGAUUUGUGAUCUUUCGAUUAGUUUGCAUAAGGCAUAGUUAGGUUCAGUUUUGUUCGGUUACAGUUUGGUUUGGUUUGUUUUGCCUUAGUUUUUUUAAGGUUUUUAGUUGAUUGUGGUUUUUUAGUUUAGUUUUGAAGUUUUAGGUAUGGAUUUAAUUUUAAUUGGGGCAGUUAGUGUAAUAAUGAGGCCGUGGCCUUUACACCAUUUUGCCACCUCUAAUCUCUACAUGUUGUUUCUAACCCUUUUUACAUUUUUUAAUAUUUAGAUAAGCAAGAACAAAUGGCACCUAGACAAAGUAGUUGCACUUGAUGUUUGGGAUAGUAUCGAAGAAUUCACACGUUCACGGUCACGUUCUUAAGGUGUGUAGAAGUGAUUCUUUUCAUUUACGAUGAAACGUAUAUGCGGUAUAAGUCAUUGGAUUCGGCUGCGAUGGCAUACAAUUCUAUACAUGGUUGUAAUUUUGUUAGCAAACUGCAGGUUGAAUGCCCGUAUAAUUGAGACUUCGAAAACUAAAUGGGAAUAUCAACUUUUUUGAAGAAAUGGUCACUUUAGAAAUCAAUAUCUUUACUUCGAAUUUGAGAUUCAAGUAAAAGAUACAAAUAUGUUCAUUGUCUAAAAUUUGCUGGUGCUUUAAGUAUAAAUAUAUAUUUUUUUAUAUUCUUGCAUCACGAACAAGUUAUUUCAAAGUCGGUUAUGUGGGGAAAAUGCUCAAAAUU